Molecule: transfer RNA, 104 nt
Filed under: Elsinoe ampelina
Lineage: Eukaryota; Fungi; Ascomycota; Dothideomycetes; Myriangiales; Elsinoaceae
Description: tRNA-Met
Rfam family: tRNA
About the family: Transfer RNA (tRNA) molecules are approximately 80 nucleotides in length. Their secondary structure includes four short double-helical elements and three loops (D, anti-codon, and T loops).
Source: RNAcentral
GUCUCUGUGGCGCAGUUGGUUUAGCGCGUAGGUCUCAUAUCAUUCAUGAUCUACCUCAGUGUAGGGCCAUCCUAAGGUCGCAAGUUCGAGUCUUGCCAGGGACA